Molecule: long non-coding RNA, 2011 nt
Filed under: Aotus nancymaae (Ma's night monkey)
Lineage: Eukaryota; Metazoa; Chordata; Mammalia; Primates; Aotidae
Description: lncRNA (ENSANAG00000038779.1)
Source: RNAcentral
GAGGGUCCUGACUUGCAGUACAUUGGCGACCAGAAGACACCCAAAGGGAGAGGCGCUGAAGACCUUCCGGCAUGGGCUGGGCAGCAGUUCAGUUGCAGGAGAAACAGCCCGAGUGUGGAGAGGUGGCCGUCCUCUGCAGGAUGCUUUGUAAAGAACCCAAGAAAUCAACGUAGAGCUUCUUCUAUCUGAUUCUCUCACAGCUGUAAACCUUCCACGAGUUAAGCUUUGUGUCAAAAUGACAAAUUAAAAGGCAAGAAAAUAAAAUUGCAAUACCAGGACUUUGGGGGGUGGGGAACACAUCUGAUAACAGAUUAUUUCAGGAAACCCCACAUUUUGCCCAAUUCUCUGUCUAUUGUGUCUCUGUCCAAUGUACUCUUUGCUGAGGACAAUGUUCAAAAGUUGUUCCUGUACUCAGUGUGGUAUGAAACUAGAAAAAUACAUUUCAGGGAAAACAAUAUAAUUAUUGUGAAGGGAAAUAGGUUUUCAAGGUUUAUUCUUCAAUUAUGAAAAGGUUUUCUAAAGUAAAACAUACUAUUCCUCUCCACGAUCCCAGUUAAUCCAGACCCUCAUCACUGGGGUUUAUAAAAUACCAUACUCGCCUUCCUGAACCUUUUGCUGAAUCUCAUAUAAAGUUCUGUCACAGAACCUCAGGUUUUUCAUGAGGCCUUGUGUACCAUGCCAUGCCUGUGACUUGCUGUCUUUGCUUUGCUUUCAUUAUUACUUUUAUUUUAAAGACGUAGCCAGCAAGUAUCUUUCUUUGCUUUAGAGAUGUAAACUGCUUUGCAUUUUCAGAUUAACUUUCCAGGAUGUUGAAAAUGCUUUGCUCACUCUUCUUUUCUCGAUUCCUCCCUCUCAGGACCUAUAAAAGGCACCCCCCAGCCCAAUGGACAGAUGCCCCAGGCUGCACAUUCUGUCAGUGCUGUUCUCCAAGAGGCCCAGACACAUGCUGAAACAUGGAAGGAAACAAGCCAGCCCUCUGGAACCACCACGAGCCUGGAGCACCCAAGGCCCCACAUGCCCCCAAAUCCAGCCUGCCCCCUCCCCAUCCGGUGCGGUGGUCCUCAGACACCAGUGGCAGCCCUGCCACACCCCCCAAAGCCAAGAGCACCAGCAGCAGGGGCUUCCUCACUCCAUCCAAUGACUUCCUGCCACCGCCCCGACUCCUCCAGGCCACCACCUGGGGUCACCAAGACACCUUGUAUGUCCCCUCAAGAGGCACGAAGCAUCAAUGUUCAGAAGCAGCAAAUGAAUAAAAGUUAAACGUUCUUCCUGAACAUGGUAUUUCUAGAAAGAUUAUUGGGUCACUCUAUCUUGAGGUAACAAUAUCAUUAAAAAUAGCUUUCCCCAUCCCAUGCCUUCUGAAGUCUUGGUGACCUUAGAAAGAUUUUCCAUCUCUAUCUCUGUGACCUUCAGAUUUCCCAGAAAAUUGAGAGGAAAACGAGAAAACAUGACAAGCAGAGGCUGUUCCCUUUCUCUGAGAUCCUUUUGCUUGAUCGAUUGGAGUCCUGGACAUGGGCUGUUUUGGUUUUGUUUUUUUAACGCUUGAAUAGUAAUUGAAAAAAAUUAUUUAGUUUUUGAAUUCUGUAUGAUUACAAUGCUAUAAAUAUCCUUUACAUAAGAAUGUAGGGGCAAGAAAAGGCAAUCUUAUCUAUAUAUUUCAGUCUGGAAUGUUUUCCCUUAGAGAUACAUUUAAUGCCCAAUUUAUCCUUGGAUCUUGCAACUUAUAUCUCUUCUCUUUCAAUUUGGCUUCUGAUGGGCUAAAAUGCUAUUUUCUUAGUUUUCUUUCCAGGGCUCUGUUUUUGUUUUUUGUGGGUUUUUUUUUUUUUUAAGUGUAAAACUCCUCAAAAUCUUAAAGUCAGUGUGUGACUUUAAGAAUCAAAAUGUGACUUUCCAAUCAAAAUGGAGUCACUCAUGUUAAAAAAAACACUGACAGAAAGAACCAGGCAAAAUCUUAAUGUUUUUUUAAAAUUAAGGAAGAUAAUUAAUGGUAUGUUUUAGUAUUUGGGAAGAG